GUCCCCGUAGCAUAACUGGAUAAUGCAAUGCCCUUCUAAGGCAUAGAGUGCGUGUUCAAGCCACGCCGGGGACGCCA
RNAcentral lists this transfer RNA (77 nucleotides) under Christensenellaceae bacterium. RNAcentral's name for it is "tRNA-Arg". It matches the Rfam family "tRNA". Rfam says of the family: Transfer RNA (tRNA) molecules are approximately 80 nucleotides in length. Their secondary structure includes four short double-helical elements and three loops (D, anti-codon, and T loops). Lineage: Bacteria; Bacillati; Bacillota; Clostridia; Christensenellales; Christensenellaceae. The record is from RNAcentral.